GGUUGUUGAUCAGUGGUAGAGUGCUUGCCUAGCAAGUGUGAGGGACUGGGUUCGAUUCUCAGCACUG
This 67-nucleotide transfer RNA is filed under the name Marmota monax (woodchuck). Its description in RNAcentral is "tRNA.Ala". The record is from RNAcentral. Lineage: Eukaryota; Metazoa; Chordata; Mammalia; Rodentia; Sciuridae.